GCGCCUAUAGCUCAAUGGAUAGAGCACCGGCCUCCGGAGCCGGUGAUCGAGGUUCGAAUCCUCGUGGGCGCA
RNAcentral lists this transfer RNA (72 nucleotides) under bacterium. Its description in RNAcentral is "tRNA-Arg". It matches the Rfam family "tRNA". Rfam says of the family: Transfer RNA (tRNA) molecules are approximately 80 nucleotides in length. Their secondary structure includes four short double-helical elements and three loops (D, anti-codon, and T loops). Further hydrogen bonds mediate the characteristic L-shaped molecular structure. tRNAs have two regions of fundamental functional importance: the anti-codon, which is responsible for specific mRNA codon recognition, and the 3' end, to which the tRNAs corresponding amino acid is attached (by aminoacyl-tRNA synthetases). tRNAs cope with the degeneracy of the genetic code in two manners: having more than one tRNA (with a specific anti-codon) for a particular amino acid; and 'wobble' base-pairing, i.e. permitting non-standard base-pairing at the 3rd anti-codon position. The record is from RNAcentral.